This 393-nucleotide ribosomal RNA is filed under the name uncultured bacterium. RNAcentral describes it as "partial 16S ribosomal RNA". It matches the Rfam family "Bacterial small subunit ribosomal RNA", at positions 523 to 918 of the family's 1533-position model. The record is from RNAcentral.
AUACGGAGGAUCCGAGCGUUAUCCGGAUUUAUUGGGUUUAAAGGGUGCGUAGGCGGUUUGCUAAGCGGGAGGUGAAAUGCCGGCGCUCAACGUCGGAAGUGCCUCCCGAACUGGUGGACUGGAAUGACUCUGCCGUGGGAGGAAUGUGUAGUGUAGCGGUGAAAUGCUUAGAGAUUACACAGAACACCGAUUGCGAAGGCAUCUCACGAAGGGUUGAUUGACGCUGAGGCACGAAAGCGUGGGGAUCAAACAGGAUUAGAUACCCUGGUGGUCCACGCAGUAAACGAUGAUGGCUAACCGCUGGGCUUAUCAGUUCAGUGGCCAAGCGAAAGCGAUAAGCCAUCCACCUGGGGAGUACGACCGCAAGGUUGAAACUCAAAGGAAUGGACGGGG